Molecule: long non-coding RNA, 9089 nt
Organism: Columba livia (rock pigeon)
Lineage: Eukaryota; Metazoa; Chordata; Aves; Columbiformes; Columbidae
Exons: 2
Source: RefSeq, a predicted model, not a curated record
UUCAGUAGAAAUCUUAACUGGAGUGCUGAAAUGUACGUCUGAAACCCUUCAACUAACUCGGGGGAGACUUACGAUGAUAGUUUGACUUUUAACCCAUGGAAAAACGCAGAAUUAAAAAGGAUUAAAAUUGCAUCUGAUGGAAAGAUGUUGUUGGACAGGUGUUUUCCUCUGCUAUUUCCAUGGGAGAAGGUGGUUUUUAGUUUGAUUAGGCUUGGAUGUUAAUAAAUAUUUAGUUUCAUUUCUAGUUGGGGGCUGUUUUCUGUGAAAUCUCCCAGGAUCAGUCAUGGGUUUUUCUGUCUCCCUGAUGAUUCUGAAAUCCCCUCUAAGUCAAAACACUGCAAGCAAUUCACAGCUUCCUCUGGUUUCAGCUGAAGCUCCCUGCCUGCGCCACAGGUAACCGGAGAGCAAAUUUCCGUGGGUGUCACAACAAUACUGAAAUUUCUCCAGGUCAGUGUUAUACAAGUUCCUUAUGCUCUCUGUGACUUUCUCUCUUUGCAUUUCAAUAGUUACAGACAAGGUUUCACAUCCUUCCAGUUGCAGCUUUCAGAGACAUGACACAAUUAACUAAGCUCUUUAAGUGGCUCUCUAAUUUCAGGGUGGUUUGCCUGACAUUGAUGGUGUAAUUUAAAACCACAAUUCUGAGCUUUUUCUUAUUAUUUCUUUUAGCACACAUUUCCGUAACCUACUUGAAUCAUACAAAAGGAAAGAAAAAAUAAUUUCUUAUGGCUGAUUUUUUUUUUUUAACUGAAGAUUUAACUUACUGGUAACAAUUGUAUGAACCUCACUUAUGCACCACACAACAUUGCAAACAGGUGGAUUUGUCAACACAUGUAAUGUGGGGUUUCUUGUACUUUCCGGUGAUGUGUCUGGUGGUUCUAGUCAGAGGUAGCAUUUUAAUCUGGAUGAAAUGGGUCUAGUCCAAUACAGGCAGACCCACGUCUGGUUUUGACCAAGUCAUUCCACCUUCCAGGGCUUAGUUUCCCAUCUAUAAGAUGAGGAUCAUGUGUUGGUCUCUUUUUAAAGUGACACCACAUUUACAGAGAUGAAGUGCUGCUAAAGAACAUUUUAUUAUCUAGUCCUGCAUCCCUGGAGCUUGGAUUAAGGUGAAGGUGUUUGCUUCGUGCUCAUUGUUCUUUCUGAAAUAUCUGCUUUGUAUUUAUUUUUAGAAAAUGGCAUGGAUUUUGAGGUUCAAGAAAACAUUGGCUUCCUGCACUUGAGAGCAGCUGUCUCACUUUGUUGACCCUUCACAGCAUCAAGCUGUCUCAGCUACAGGAGAGUUUUCAGCAUGACUCAUCCUGGAAUUGCAGCUCCCAAAAAUAUGCAUCAGGGGAGCAGAACUGGAAGCUCUGUGGGGGAGGCUGUUAUUGAAAUAAUUUCCUUUCAUGGAGAGGAGCGACAUCCACAUUGUGUGUUGCUGGAGAAGACUAGAGAGGAGAACCGCAUGUCCCAUACUCAGCAGGAAAUGCUGUGAGUCCAGACUACUGCCUGUGUGGUGGCUGAGAGCACCCAGGUAGCUGGUAGGACAACCUGGGCUUAGCCUGCGUCUGCUUUGGAGAGGACAGUGUUGGGAUGCUGCUGAGCAAGACUGUAGGUUAUCUGCAUCUCCAUGGGGGAGUGGGAAAGCACAGUGACUCCUACAUUCUGCAGCUGCUUGGGUUUGCCCAGCUCACAGCCAAGGAAUGAGGGGAGAGAGCUGAAAGCAGUGGGAGAGAGGUGCUAGGAAAGGAUGGUGAAUUUGGGAUUGGCUGCAGCAUAGGGGAUGUGUGAGAGGGGGCUGUGACAUUCAGUGACAUGCUAAGUCAGACUGGAUGUUUCUUCCUGCUCACAAGAAACUAAGCUGUGUGAGCUUCCCACAGCACUUGUUCGUGAUGUGUGCCAGCAGUGAGGCGCUGCAGCGUGUUCUGCUGCUCAUGUGCCAAGUGAAAAUAACCCCCGUGUGCCAAUCAGUGCCAACAAAUCACCAAGGUGUCAGUGGACGGUCUCCAGUACCUCCAACCCUUCCCAGAAUCCAUGGUAUAUCCAGGCCUCUUGUCCUUGGUCUAGCAAAGCUGUGUAUUCAUGCUAAAACUGGCUCUGAUAACACAACUUCUUUGGACACAGCCUAAAUUAAAACAAACAAACAAACAAACAAACAAGAAAAAGCGCCAACAACACAGUUUUAGCAAAAGUUUAUUGUGUGUCCAAGAAGAGUACAACAUCCAGACCACACUGAAGUUCUAUGAAUACGUACUGGACUGUUGAAAAGGGUUCUGUGGGCCACAAAGUAAAACUUGGGAUGCUACUCCCAAAUUAGGUUGUAUGAAAAUUUUCUGCAGACCCAGCAGCCCAAAAUGUUCAAAGGGUUUCUUGCUGCAUUUCCCCAUCCCCACUCAUCAUUUUUCCAUACCUUUCCAUUCCUCUCCCAGCCGUCUGCAGAUGAUGGAGCAAGAUCCAAGUAUUAAUUUUCUCCCAAAGACCAGGAGCAAUUGUUCUUUCCUCUGCUCAGGGAUAACAAACCAAUGUCAUGUUUUCCAGUGGCACUGUGGUCUAAAAUAGUGCCAGCACCAUCAUUAAUGCUGCUCUGCCAUCAUUCCCGUGUUGCAACACAAUCUGAAAGGACAUAACCCUUUUUUGUUCCCAUAAACUGAAAGAAAAACACAUGCACUGCUGUGACAGGGAAAAUCCUGGGAUUGUGUCAAAACAGAGACAGAAGAGCAUAAGAAAGAGAUAAGAAUUGAAACUUUUAUUCUGGUAUAGAAUAAAUAAGUUCUCCGUUUUCUUCUGAUGACCAGACCUGAAAGGUAUGUAGCACUGUAGGUCAGGACCAUUCUUAGUGAGAGACUAGCGCUUACCUCCAUCUGCCACCAAUUCAGGGGCUCAGAACAUUUCAGGCUAAAGGAGGGGCACGUGGAGGGACCUGCUGAGGGACCCCCUUGGGCAGGUGGGGUUUUUCAGUGUCUGCUGGCGAAGGUCGGCCCAUCCGCUGCUGCUCAUGCACAUGGAGCUCUGCGCUGCGCACACGGGGUGGGCAGCAGAGGGGCUCCCAUAGCAACAUUCAGUGAGUGGUUGUGACCCCUUCCUGGGCAUCCACCCCUCCCUGCUCAGGUGCCCCUCUGCCCCAGCACAAUUUUGCUGCCGCUGGUGGCAACAAUCCAAACAUUCUUCUCUUUAGCCCCAAAGUAUAUGAGGCUGAGGGCUAGAAAACAGCCAGAUGAGGCAUUUUAAGACACAAAUAUUGCCAUAUAUAACAACUGGUUACUAAUAUGACACAGAGGGUUACCUCAGACAGGUGUAGUGACACAGCAUACUACCGUAAUGCUCUGGUCAUCUCAUUCUGCCCCCUUGAUUUCAGUAAUAUGGGGAAAUGAAAUACUUUACCUUCCCUUGUGUCCCUGUACUGUUGUGCUUUCUGGCUUCGUGCAAAGCACCACAAUUGCUGCACAAAUCCUGCUUAGAGCAUUCCACGUUUUCUCCUCACACACAUUUGCGGAGCACAGCAGGCCUCUGCAAUGCGGCCAGUAUUCUUAUCCACUUUGCUACAAGUGGUUUUACAGGAAGGACCAUCUGGUCGUCAGCUGCCCAAAUGCGCAUUUGCCUGCCCUCCUGCACCUGUUCGGUGUGGAAUGCAGGCUCUCCCUGCUGGGAGCUCCCCAUCAGAGCCCUUCCUGAGCCAGCGGGUGAGAGGACGCAGCACAUCCCCUGAGAGAGCAGAGGGUACAGACACGUCUUUGAGAUCUCUGUUCUUAAGGAGGAAUAAAUCCCAGCUUAUCUUCAACAUGGAGGUGACAUAGGGGACCAGAAGGUUCGCACUAUUCCAGGCAACUUCAUCCGUGCUCAAAUGGGAAGGUCAGGUCUGGCAUGUGAGCUGAUGUCGCGCACAGCAGGCAUGUGCAUCGCUCAUGAUGUCACCAUGUUCUGGGAAGCUCAUUUAUCCAAAGCUCUUUGCCAUUUAAGAGAUGUUUUUAUCCACAGUCAUUCCCAGGUGAGCCAACGAGGUACCUGCAAGUCAGAUCUGGAUUUCUCUGUGCAAACUGAGCCAUCAACCUGUAAAAAUCGCCUCAGUGACCUGUUUUGGGACUGCCCCAACGUACCCGCAUGUCUGUACUGGACAGGCAGGACCACAGCCACAUGCUCUCAAAAACGUUCAGUACCGCAAGUGUAACUGCUAAGCCACCUUCACUGAUGCCCAGUUAAGGAAGAAAGCCUUAAAAUGAGUUUGGGUUUAUGUUGAAAGCUUUCAGGGAGACCGGUGCUGCUUGUUGCAGGCAUCUCUUUCUCUUCACAUCCCUGACUUCCCACUAGAGCUACAUUUUACUAGAAUAAUGAACCUGAAUGUGAGAGUCAGAUGCAAAUCGGGGAUGGAGGAGUUCCAGCCCAUGGGGAUUAUCUUUUUGAUUUGACUGUCAACAAGAUCUUGACAUACAAUAUACAAAUUAUCAAAAGAUUGCCUUCAGAGAAAGGUGAGGGAGAAACAUCUGCAAUUUGUUAUUAAUUUUUGUGAAGUAUCCUGUUACUAUUCUAAAGGAACUAAGGGUACCUAGCACAAAAUGGCUUCAAGGUCAGCAAAAAUUAAGAGCAGGGUUAAACAGCAUGCAAUUUAACAAUGAAAUAGCUGUAGCUGUCAUUAUCAGGCAGAAAAAAAUGACAUGGCCAUAUACAGGGUGGAUGAAGCAAUAUGCCUGCCAGACCAAACAGUUGCCUGUCACUAUACUGCAGUCAUAACUCAAGAAAAUCAUUUGAAAAAAACCCCAAACCUGUCUAAAGAUCGCACAUAGGUACUGUAGAACUUGCAAGUGAAAGCCCUGGUGGGUGGGAAAUAGGCGAAAAGCAGGAUGUUCCCUGAGCUCAGCAACAUUUGCCAUUUGCUUGUGGAUCUUCUAGGAGACGGUGAAAUUUUCCCCAGCUAGAAACACACCAUCCUUUGUUCUUUAACCCCUCACGAGGGAGUCACACAGAUGAAGGCUUUGCUGAGCAAAUAUAUGUAUUUCUUUUCUGGUCAGACAGUUUAAUCUUGGUAUUGGCUCCCUCUCUUUCAGCAGCACACUGAAUGAAGACAGCUUCAUUGUUAGUUUGACGCACUUCACCCUUUCCUUAUUAGGAAAAUAAAACCUCACAGAUUCCUAGGUUUUGAGAUAUUUGCUGUCAGCCGGGUAUAAAUAUAUCCAGCGAUACACUUUUGGCUAUAUGAUGCUUUAGGCAUUUGUUUGGGAGGUGUACAGGCAGAAGGAAUGUAAAGUUUUAGCCUCAGCCUUCUUCUCAUUUUAAGGGAAGCCAGCUCGCAUUUACGAGGUGCCGGGGAUGUCCCUUUCCCUGAGCAGUGUUUUGGAAGGACACGGGCAGCAGAAGCCCUGUGGGUCCUGCUCCCUCACCGCAACCCUCCCUUGGAGAAGGAAGCGAGUAGCUCGCACCUCGACACCCUCAGCUUCUCUGCUGUCACCACCACAACGCCGACACAUUCAACUUUAUCUGCCUAAUGGUAUCAUGCCUAAAGCAGCUGGUUAGGCAGCCUUUAAAGUUAAUGGAGAAGACUCACUUAAAACUUCCUCCCAUUCACCAUCUGUAAUGAAGAAUUCAUCUCCAUGUACUAAGACAGACUACUUUUCAGAGGCAUCUCCCUCCGUUGCAACUGAUUAUGAAGCAAGCACAGAUGGUUAGAUAAGUCACUUAAUUUUAAAGCAGCAGAUUAGGAGAGAGUCCCCGUGUAAGCAGUAGUUCAAUAUCUGGCUUCUGGAACUAAGCUGACCACCAGUUCACUUCAUAGCUCACCUGAUUUUGCCAGAGACUAACAUUUGAAAAUUACAACUGUGUUGUGAUGGCCAGGUAUGUCAGCUUUAUUUUAAAUUAAUUUGUUAUGCAAGGACCUUAAAAAUGGCAACAUUAAAAUAUGUGAUUUUUUACAGGCCUAAGACUAGACCUGACUGAGAGGCUUAAUGCCUGGAAGAUGCAUGUCAAGUUCUUACUGCUCUAAGCUUUAAUUGGCACUUUUUAUGUUCUUCAAGGGAAAAAAAAAUAAAUCUGUUCUCACAGUAGAAAAAUGCAGAGAGAUGAUGAAUAUUUCUGAAGAAAAUAUAUAUGGUCAAAGUUAUUCAUCAGCUUCAUUUCCAGAGGACGGGAGGCCAAUAUCUGCACUGCCCCGCGGCUUUAUAAGCCAGUAACUUCAGCCUAUCCUGCAAGGGUGUCAAGAAGGGUUUCCAAGGUAAUUAAGUUCUUGCAAGCUCUGUGGCUGGGAAGGAGGUGCAAAUAAUGCCACCGGGGGGAAAGAUGGGCAGAAAGAUGUCCUGUCUCUUGCCUGGUGGAGAUAAUGUCAAUCAACCAGGGAACAUGGAGAAAGACACCAGAUCUACAGGAGGUGUAAGAUAUUCAUAGGAAACAGGACUUCAUUCUGCUCUUCACAGCACUUGUUUUAAACAGAGCUCUUUUCUCAGGAUUUGCCCAAACCUAAUUUUAUAAUUAUGAUUCAAUUUCUACUGUGUCACCCUUUCUGCAGCAGAAGUCCUUGGGAAGAUGACACAUGGGCUGCAGUCCCCAAGAUGCAAGAUGAGGGAUGGCCACACCAACAGCAGAACGCGGACUGCACAUCUCAGCUGGUGUGACACGAAGCACCAACCACCAGCAGCGAAGCAAAGGUAUUUUCAUAUUGCAUGUUAGAAAAGCAUGAAAGCAACCGCAAUUUUUUAUGUUUUUUGAUCACCAUUGGCACACAGAAAGACAUCUCGAAUCAUUUCCUUAUCCUUUGACAUGCUUGAUGCUAUGUUAGAGACAGAUGAAUGAUUAGAAAACCCACAGAACUUCCAAAUUCUUCCAAUUCCAAAUAGCAAAGACACAGCUUCGCUAUUUUUCUGACACUUUAGAACAAGGUGUUGUGGUCUUUUUAAAGUAACAAAACCAAAAUAAGUGUCGUAAACAGACAUGUAAGAUGUCUGUCACUACAGACCAUUGGAAUUUGUGAUCAUUUAUUGCAGUGAACUGAAAAAGUAGUGAAGUUUUAUACCAGCAUUCUGUGGUCUUUCACAAACAUCUGCUACCAUAAAGGGUAGUUUUAUUCUGAUUCUACUAUAUAGUAAACCUUGUAUUUUAACUAAGUAAAAUCAACACUGAAAUACGUACUUUUCAAACAAGGCAAUAUAUAGCAAACAUUUUCUUUAACUGUAGAGUGCAACUUCAUAUAUUUUGUAAUCAAAGUAAUUACAGAGCAACUCCUUCAAACAAUAACAGCUUCAUAAUGGUAAUAGUGCACCAAAGAUGUCUACGCAAACUAGCAGAAACAAGUUUAAAAAAGAAAAUCUACUGGAGAAACACAACAUGCAGCUUUUUAGCCAAGAAACUAGUACUAGAAGAAUUUGCACACACAGCCAGAACAAUUCUCCUUUGUCUCCCAGAAAUUUAACAGAAAAUGGAUACAACCCCUGCUGUUUUACACUGUCAUACUAACAAGAAGAGCUACAAAAAUAGAUUCAAUCAGUAUUUAUGAUAAAAACAUACCUGUGGCUAAUCUAAUGGCUGAUACCACAAGUCUGCUUCACCUUAAUGCUGUAUCCCAGUGAACUGCCAAUAUUAAUCAUCUGGGAAGAGAAGGAAGACACCACUGAGAAAGUGCUGAUGUGCUGCUUUCCUCACUGCACACACUGCAAGAAAAUGAACCAGAAAAGAUCGUUUAUGCCCUACAGUAUCAUCUUAUUGGUUGUUGCAUUCAAACCACAUUUUGUUUUGACAAAUACCACAAGUGAUUUUGCAGCACUGCAGGACAUUAUUUUGGACUUAGUGGUACCCAAGCCCAGGACUUCUCUUUUUGGUAAAGGCCGGUUUGCGAGACAACGCAGAAAGGCCCCUUGGCAUUCACCCAGUGGCCACCAUGUGUUAUCAGAGCCAUGAAGAUGAUCAAGGGAGUGGAGCAUCUCCCUUAUGAAGAAAGGCUGAGGGAGCUGGGUCUUUUCAGUUUGGAGGAGACUGAGGGGUGACUUCAUUAAUGUUUAUUAAUAUGCAAAGGGUGUCACGAGGAUGGAGCCAGGCUCUUCUCGGUGACAACCAGUGAUAGGACAAGGGGCAGUAGGUACAAACUGGAACACAAAAGGUUCCACUUAAAUAUGACAAGAAACUUCUUCACAGCGAGGGUGCCAGAGCACUGGAACAGGCUGCCCAGGGAGGUUGUGGAGUCUCCUCUGGAGACAUUCAAAGCCCACCUGGACACCUUCCUGUGUAACCUCAUCUAGGUGUUCCUGCUCUGGUGGGGGAAUUGGACUAGAUGAACUUUCAAGUUCCCUUCCAAUCCCUAUCACUCUGUGAUUCUGUGUGAUUCUGUGAUCUUGCCCAAACUUUCAGUUUCUGAUCUCUUACUGGCACAUUCCCUAACAAAAUUAAGCAAAUACUUUGUGGCUUCUGGCACUGGCCUGGGAUGUGGUAAGAAGGGCCUGAAGCUCCUCCAGACUGAAGGGGAACCCUCAAUUUCCCGAGUGCCAACUCCUUGGCAGCUGUUUACAACACUAGUUAGCAGGAGCCUUUUUAUUUUUUGAAAGCAAGCAAACCCCUGCCUUUGUGAGGCACUUGGUCUUGUGGGUACAGCCAGCACCCUCAGAAGCAGCUUCCAAACUCAGGUGUUCCACGGGUGCAGACAGCGAGUGCCUAGAACUCUCCUGAGCUCCAGCAAAGACAACUGCCUGUGGCUCCAACAGAGGCACCAUCGCCCACCUGAGAGCAGCCCCUGACCACAAAGCAGGGGAGAUGGAAGAUAAUGAACUGAAACAUAAAGAAAACCAUGGAAAUGUGAGACAAGUUCUUUAUAUGCUAAAUCAACAAGGCACAGUUCUGCAGGCAGGGAGGGAGGACUGCAGCUGCCGUCUGCUGAAGUGCCAAUUGAGAGCUGAAAAUCAGGAGUGCCAAGCAAUGGAACCCCGUAAACAUUCAUGGAGCGUGUGCUGGGAAGGGUAAAACCUGGUAAGAGAAGAUAAUUAACUCAUGCAACAAUCCGUGGAUGAGAAUACGGUUUAGAAUUCAAAAAUAAAAUAACUGCGGUGGUGUUACUGCCUCUUUGCUAAUUAAGAUGUUAAGCCUAUUAAUAGUGAUGCAAAAAAGGCAGAAGUUUCCAAUUAAAAUUUCUGCUUCCUAUCUGAAAA